This 297-nucleotide long non-coding RNA is filed under the name Phoenix dactylifera (date palm). RNAcentral's name for it is "long non-coding RNA (PDAC_LNC012838)". The record is from RNAcentral. Lineage: Eukaryota; Viridiplantae; Streptophyta; Magnoliopsida; Arecales; Arecaceae.
CUUAGUAAUUAAAACUUUGUGUGCUUUUGAAAUUCUUGGCACUUAUGCAUUUGAAAUUAGAUUUUAUAAAACAAUAAAAUAAAUUCUUUGGGUAGAGACAGCAGUUUGUGGGUACCUGAGUCGGAAACCCUCACGAGACAAAACUCGUUCACUAGGGCUACCUAGGGGUUUAAAGCCUUAUUGCAUACGGUAAAUGCAAUCGCGAUUCCUGCGAAAGUGAGUUAGUUUUUUUUAUUUUGCUCGAGAACUAGCAAAAUAUAGGUUGGGGGGUGUGAUAAGUGCUAAAUAAUGUAUAAA